Molecule: long non-coding RNA, 326 nt
Organism: Carassius carassius (crucian carp)
Lineage: Eukaryota; Metazoa; Chordata; Actinopteri; Cypriniformes; Cyprinidae
Exons: 3
Source: RefSeq, a predicted model, not a curated record
GAGGUCAUGAAUCUAUAUACAGGUAUAUAUUUCUUUCCAUAAUAUUUUUCUUUCUGUUGGUGGCGGUAAUGCACUUGCAACCGCGAAUGAACAGAGAAGAAGAAGGAGGAGGAGGAGGAGGAGAAAAAAAUAAUAAUAAGAAGAAGAAGCGUUCUCCACGCGCAUCGCCCUUUCUCACUCACUUAGCGGUUAAUCUUUUGAGUGGGAGGCGGUAGAGCACCUAAAGCCGGUUUGCCAACUGCCAAUAAACAGAAGAGAAUAAGACGAAUCACCACUACUGCCCUCAGUCUGGGAUCUGAUGGAGGAGAAAGAGGAGAGUGAAUAAU